This 634-nucleotide ribosomal RNA is filed under the name uncultured fungus. RNAcentral describes it as "eukaryotic LSU rRNA". It matches the Rfam family "Eukaryotic large subunit ribosomal RNA", at positions 24 to 664 of the family's 3401-position model. Lineage: Eukaryota; Fungi. The record is from RNAcentral.
CCCGCUGAACUUAAGCAUAUCAAUAAGCGGAGGAAAAGAAACUAACAAGGAUUCCCCUAGUAACGGCGAGUGAAGCGGGAUGAGCUCAAAUUUAAAAUCUGGUAGUCUUUGGCUGCCCGAGUUGUAAUCUAGAGAAGUGUUUUCCGCGCUGGACUGUGUACAAGUUUCCUGGAUAUGGAACAUCAUAGAGGGUGAGAAUCCCGUCCUUGACACAGACUCCCAGGGCUUUGUGAUGCGCUCUCAACGAGUCGAGUUGUUUGGGAUUGCAGCUCAAAAUGGGAGGUAAAUUCCUUCUAAAGCUAAAUAUUGGCGAGAGACCGAUAGCGAACAAGUACCGUGAGGGAAAGAUGAAAAGCACUUUGGAAAGAGAGUUAAACAGUACGUGAAAUUGUUAAAAGGGAAACGAUUGAAGUCAGUCGCGUCUACUUGGACUCAGCCUUACUUUGGUUUGGUGCAUUUCCUUGUUGAAGGGCCAGUGUCCAUGUCGAUUGCUGGAAAAGGUUCAGAGGAAUGUGACUCUUUUAGAGUGUUAUAGCCUCGGUUCAUAUACAGUGGUUGAUAUGGAGUGGUACAGCAUGCUUCGGUGGUGCUUGUGCUGGCAUAAUGGCUUUAAACGACCCGUCUUGAAACACGG